Molecule: long non-coding RNA, 435 nt
Filed under: Homo sapiens (human)
Lineage: Eukaryota; Metazoa; Chordata; Mammalia; Primates; Hominidae
Description: non-protein coding lnc-HDDC2-14:1
Source: RNAcentral
GCCCUGGCAGCCGCCAUGGCAGACGGCGGCCCUGGCCCCAGGGCGGGGCAGUGGUGGCUCAGGACCACGUGUUUACUUUCAGAGCCCACCCCCCAGGGCCGCAGGAGGAGGCCCGGGCGGCACAGACGAUAAGGGCCCAGUGAGGCGCCAAGGGAAGGUCACCAUCAAGUAUUACCACAAGGAGCUACAAAGUGCCUCAACCUGGAGGAGUGGAUCAUGGAGCAGCUGACACAACUCCCCGACUGCCAGGAAAAGGAGAUCCCAGAACUGGAGAUUGACGUGGAUGAACUCCUGGACAUGGAGAGUGAGGAUGCCCAGGCUGCCAGGGUCGAGGAGCUGCUGGUUGACUGUUACAAACCCACCGAGGCCUUCAUCCCUGACCUGCUGGACAAGAUCCGGGGCAUGCAGAAGCUGAGCACACCCCAGAAGAAGUGA